CCUAUGCCUACUAAAAACCACCCUCCGCCGGCAAGGUUUGAAAUCCUAUGUCCGAGGUCGAUUUCUCAAAGUAUCGAAAUGUUCCGAAGCUAGAAGUUGAUGAUUAUCCUUUUUUUUUUCAGUGAGAAGUCAAUUCCGCUAAGCUUUAGCCAGGGCUAACCCUCUUUCUAAAGCAGAAGAGGAAUAAAUAGGAGCAUUACUGCUGCUACGAGCUAGAAGGCGUUGGUGUCCGCUAUC
Molecule: long non-coding RNA, 237 nt
Filed under: Elaeis guineensis (African oil palm)
Lineage: Eukaryota; Viridiplantae; Streptophyta; Magnoliopsida; Arecales; Arecaceae
Description: long non-coding RNA (EGUI_LNC009207)
Source: RNAcentral